This 308-nucleotide small nuclear RNA is filed under the name Anolis carolinensis (green anole). Its description in RNAcentral is "7SK RNA". It matches the Rfam family "7SK RNA". From Rfam's summary of the family: 7SK was discovered as an abundant small nuclear RNA in the mid-70s but a possible function has only recently been suggested. Two independent studies have found that 7SK RNA binds the CDK9/cyclin T complex (known as elongation factor P-TEFb). P-TEFb activates transcription by phosphorylating the C-terminal domain of RNA polymerase II. The record is from Rfam by way of RNAcentral. Lineage: Eukaryota; Metazoa; Chordata; Lepidosauria; Squamata; Anolidae.
GAAUGUGAGGUGAUCUGGCUGCGAAAUCUGUCACCCCACUUAUCACCAGGGUUGAUUCGACCAAUCUGGCUGGCUAGGCAGGUGCCCCCUUCCUCACCACUCCAUGUGUGUCCCUCCUGAAGCUGCACAUUCAGUGGAAGAGGAUGACGUCCCAGAUAUAGAAGGAAUGUACCGAGGUCUCCAGCCUUCAGUCCCAGAUAUACAAUACCUGCACUCCCCUGCUAGAACCUCCAAACAAGCUCAAGGGUUGUUGUUGAGUGCAUUAGAGCCAUCUCCAUUACUGUUUCGCUGGCCAAAAGCAGCUCUCU